Long non-coding RNA from Zingiber officinale, 1496 nucleotides. RefSeq lists it as uncharacterized. Lineage: Eukaryota; Viridiplantae; Streptophyta; Magnoliopsida; Zingiberales; Zingiberaceae. The transcript has 3 exons. The record is from RefSeq and is a predicted model, not a curated record.
GGGCAUGGCUUCCUCUUUCACGCCCGUGCCCUAACUCUCCUCCUCCUCCUUCCUCUUUCACGAUGGAUCCUGUCGUGCCCUAACUCUAGCUCCCGAGCCGCUUCUUCCUUCCCCUUCGAGAAGAGAGGAGCGAAGCCCGUCCCCUUCGUGCUCUACUCCUCCUUCCUCUUUCGCGAAAGAUCCUGGCGUGCCAUAACUCUAGCUCCCGAGCCGCUUCUUCCUUCCCCUUCGAGAAGAGAGGAGCGAAGACCGUCCCCUUCGUGCCCUAGCUUCUUCGGUCGCAGCCUCGCGUUCUCCUUUCUCUUCCUCCCAGUGAGGUGAGCCGCUUCUUCCCUCCCAUUCUCGAAGAGAGGAUCGAAGCAUGUCCAUCCAAAAAAAACAGAGUCGAAGCCCUCACCUAGCUACGGGGUCAAGUUAUAGCACCAGUAGACAGGGAGCUUUGAGUUUGAGCACUCUUUGAGGUUGUUAUUUCAUGGCUGAAUCAAGUUACAACAAUAUCGACAAUACGAGAUUUCAACAUGUAACAUGUAGGGAAUGCGGAGAAAGAACCAUGGUGCGUGUUUCUAAAUCAACUAAAAAUCCUGGAAGAUACUAUUACAGAUGUGGGCAAUAUGGAUGGCAAAAGUGGGUGACAACGGAUACUAGUUCAUCCUACAAAAUUGAAAGUGAACACCAUGUUUCUCAUGGACAUAAUCCAAGAAUAAUCAAUGUACCAAAAUUCAUUUGGAUAUUAGUAAUGGUGAACUUGAUUCUCUUAGCCGUAAUCCAAAUUGAGUUGUUAGUUCAUAUGUUUAGUUAGUAUUAAGUAAUGUUUGUGUUGUAAUAUAAUUGGCUAAAUGUUUAUAAUUCUAGACGCAAACUUAGUUUAUCUCUAAUUGAAAUGUUUUUAUUUCAAUAAAUAUUUGGUCACCUAAAAAGAAAACCGUCUCUAUCUUCUUUACUUCUAUUAGCCCUCUCUGUUUUGCUCUUUCUGGCUAGUAAAGUUUACUUUUCAUUGAUGAUAUCUAUGUGAUGCCAUUGAUUUGAGAAAAAGACAUAUUGUAUAAUUUAUGUGAUGUUUAUACUAAUAUUGUGGUUCGUUUUAGAAAUCAUCCAAGGAAAAACUUUACCUAGGUGAAGUAGUAGAACCAUCAUGUUUUCACAGUGGAUGCUAAUUACUUGAAGGAGAUCGAUAACUAUCCACUAUGAUAAGAUCUUCCUGGACAACAUCUCUAUGGAAGGGCUUGUUUGAUGCAACAGUUUCUUAAGAAUGUAAAGCUGCACUUUCAUUCAUUGAAUGCACUGAUAAUCUGCAAUUAUCUUAAAGGAAGGGUUACCAGUUUGAUAACUAUACACUGAUUUUAUUUUCAUAAUAUAUGAAUCAAGAGAUGAGCCCAUAAGGAGAAGAUGGCGUGACAACGAAAUGAUUUGCCUUUUGGUUUCAUUUUUGUGUUGGCUAAUAUGUUUUAGACGCCUACUUUCCCUCCUUAAUUUUUCAGCUAUGAUUCUUUUUUUCA